Molecule: long non-coding RNA, 360 nt
Organism: Helianthus annuus (common sunflower)
Lineage: Eukaryota; Viridiplantae; Streptophyta; Magnoliopsida; Asterales; Asteraceae
Exons: 2
Source: RefSeq, a predicted model, not a curated record
AACAGAACCAGGAGGGGGCGACCAGGGGUUUCUCCACAAACCCUAAUUCUCACAAAAUCCUUCAAAUUGAAGCUCAAAUCAAGCCCGAAUCGUCUGCAUGAUUACAAAUUCGUGAUCUCCAUUGAAAGGGGAGUCAUAAGUUUGACUCUUGACGAGCUAGGUGAAGCUUGGAGGAGAAGAUCAAACGGGAUAAAGGAACGAAUAAGACUUGCUUGGAUGAAAGGUAAGUAAAACUACACCCACUUGUAGUAUAUGUGUUUAUUUCAUAACGAUGAAUACAAUAAAGGAUUUGGUUUGAAUCAUGGGUUCCGACCCAAAACGAAAUGAGUCAGAACCAACAAAAAUGUUUUAAACCAUGAU